This 966-nucleotide long non-coding RNA is filed under the name Anser brachyrhynchus (Pink-footed goose). RNAcentral's name for it is "lncRNA (ENSABRG00000010835.1)". The record is from RNAcentral. Lineage: Eukaryota; Metazoa; Chordata; Aves; Anseriformes; Anatidae.
CUGAAAUGUCAUUUUGUCCAAGUGGGACCAAAAAGAAAAUUUGAAAUAUUCACAUUUUUUCAAAAAAUAAACAGGAUCCUUCACAAACCUCUCUAACAACAAGAUGGAUGAGUAGGCUUGUUAGCAGUCUCUGCUACCCCAAGAAUUCAUUAGACACUCUGGAGAAAAUGUUCCCAGAGAUGGAAUGGCACUGAAGAUAGAUUCUCAGAACACACCAGGAUUUGUAUCUCCUACUCAACUGCAAAAAGAACACCCAAGAUUAUAGAGCCAUGAAACCAACUAAAAUCAUGUAACUAAAUACCAUGAUUUUUAGGACAAACAGAUCACCAGAAUGUACAGCCAUCAAGUAAGGUAAGCUACGUAAUGUUGUUACUGUGGUUCCAGGACAAUUUAGCAGUGUUAUUGAAAGUAGCCUGUGCUCAGUCUGUGGCGUGACUACCACUAAUGUUACACGUCUUCCCUUGUUUGUACUGUUCCAGGUCAUAAGAAUGGUUGGAUCAAAUGACAAUGAGACAGUUGUGCCCAAAUUUCUAUGUAGUAUAUACAGAUGAGAAAUCUGAUCUUGAAGGCGUGGAGAGCUAUUUAUCACUAAUGCAUGAAAGGCUUUUGGGAAACUGCAAGCAAAAUUCAGAGGGAUGGAUGGCAGCACCUUGAAGCAGACACACAUUGUACUAACUGGUGGGCAUUAUUCUGGACGUCGGAAAUCUGUAGUCCUGAGCAACAGCAGUAUCCUCAGGAGCCUCUGAUGGAAGUGGAUGACAUUUGGAGGUACAUUGAAGAACAACAAUGACUCACACAGGGAGGUUCAAAAUGAACUGAUGGACCUGAAAACGGACAGAGUGAAUUUGCCUCUUAAUCUGUGUUGACUGAAGAGGGAUUCUGGCUGAGGCUGAAGCCAUUCACCUAACUUUAGUUAAUUAAAGCUAGGUGAAAUAAAUUCUAGCCCCAGUGUCUUUUACCUGAACA